This 77-nucleotide transfer RNA is filed under the name Pontibacillus litoralis JSM 072002. Its description in RNAcentral is "tRNA-Arg". It matches the Rfam family "tRNA". Rfam says of the family: Transfer RNA (tRNA) molecules are approximately 80 nucleotides in length. Their secondary structure includes four short double-helical elements and three loops (D, anti-codon, and T loops). Lineage: Bacteria; Bacillati; Bacillota; Bacilli; Caryophanales; Bacillaceae. The record is from RNAcentral.
GUCCUAGUAGCUCAGCUGGAUAGAGCAACGGCCUUCUAAGCCGUAGGUCGGGAGUUCGAAUCUCUCCUGGGACGUCA